ACCAUCUUUUUCUUGGGGUUGCACUGCUAUCCAAAGAGGGCAUAGUGAGAGCGGUAUUGCUAAUAUCUACACAACUUGCGCACAUCACCUGGAGCUUUGCUUCACCUUGGUUUUGCUAUUUAUAUAAAU
Molecule: non-coding RNA, 129 nt
Filed under: Otolemur garnettii (small-eared galago)
Lineage: Eukaryota; Metazoa; Chordata; Mammalia; Primates; Galagidae
Source: RNAcentral